RNAcentral lists this ribosomal RNA (357 nucleotides) under Triticum aestivum (bread wheat). Its description in RNAcentral is "partial small subunit ribosomal RNA". Lineage: Eukaryota; Viridiplantae; Streptophyta; Magnoliopsida; Poales; Poaceae. The record is from RNAcentral.
AUGUGGCUUCUAUUCGCCGCUAGUCUGUCUCUCAGUUUGAUGUCAAGAAUGCCUACAACUAGCCACCACCUCGGUUCUCUUCCUAAUGGCAUGGUUUGUCAUCUUCGUCGCUGUCUAUAUGGCUCUAAUCAAACCCCUCAUGCCUGCUUUGAGCGCUUCGUCUCGGUGGUGAUUGCGGCCAGUUUUUGGCGAGUGCUCAUUAUCCUACACUUUCGGUCCACCAUUCAACUCGUGGUCGAACACUUCUUCUACAUGUCGAUCAUCACUGGCAACGAUUCUAAGUACAUUGCCUUGUUGAAGGCUCGUGGUAGAACACUUCUACAUGUCGAUCAUCACUGGCACCAGGAUCGUCACUAG